GUUGGUAAAGUGGAAUCAAACCUUACGGUUUUAGUCCAUGGUUUGGUCCCCUUCAACCAGCUG
This 63-nucleotide microRNA precursor is filed under the name Ciona intestinalis (vase tunicate). RNAcentral describes it as "Cin-Mir-133_pre stem-loop". It matches the Rfam family "mir-133 microRNA precursor family", at positions 15 to 72 of the family's 74-position model. From Rfam's summary of the family: mir-133 was first experimentally characterised in mouse and homologues have since been discovered in several other species. The mature sequence is excised from the 3' arm of the hairpin. Lineage: Eukaryota; Metazoa; Chordata; Ascidiacea; Phlebobranchia; Cionidae. The record is from RNAcentral.